This 492-nucleotide ribosomal RNA is filed under the name uncultured bacterium. RNAcentral describes it as "partial 16S ribosomal RNA". It matches the Rfam family "Bacterial small subunit ribosomal RNA", at positions 29 to 507 of the family's 1533-position model. The record is from RNAcentral.
AGUGAACGCUGGCGGUAGGCCUAACACAUGCAAGUCGAACGGCAGCACAGUAAGAGCUUGCUCUUACGGGUGGCGAGUGGCGGACGGGUGAGGAAUACAUCGGAAUCUACUUUUUCGUGGGGGAUAACGUAGGGAAACUUACGCUAAUACCGCAUACGACCUACGGGUGAAAGCAGGGGAUCUUCGGACCUUGCGCGAUUGAAUGAGCCGAUGUCGGAUUAGCUAGUUGGCGGGGUAAAGGCCCACCAAGGCGACGAUCCGUAGCUGGUCUGAGAGGAUGAUCAGCCACACUGGAACUGAGACACGGUCCAGACUCCUACGGGAGGCAGCAGUGGGGAAUAUUGGACAAAGGGCGCAAGCCUGAUCCAGCCAUACCGCGUGGGUGAAGAAGGCCUUCGGGUUGUAAAGCCCUAUUGUUGGGAAAGAAAAGCAGCAGGUUAAUACCCCGCUGUUCUGACGGUACCCAAAGAAUAAGCACCGGCUAACUUCGUG